GUUAGGAAUAUUGGACAAUGGGCGCAAGCCUGAUCCAGCCAUGCCGCGUGAACGAUGAAGGCCUUCGGGUUGUAAAGUUCUUUAGCCGAUGAUUAUAAUGACUGUAGUCGGAAAAUAAGCCCCGGCUAACUUCGUGCCAGCAGCCGCGGUAAUACGAAGGGGGCGAGCGUUAUUCGGAAUCACUGGGCGUAAAGCGUGCGUAGGCGGUUUUGUAUGUUAGGAGUGAAAGCCCAGGGCUCAACCUUGGAAUUGCUCUUAAAACUGCAAGGCUCGAAUCUCGGAGAGGAUAGCGGAAUUUCCAGUGUAGCAGUGAAAUGCGUAGAUAUUGGAAGGAACACCAGUGGCGUAAGCGGCUAUCUGGACGAGUAUUGACGCUGAGGCACGAAAGCGUGGGGAUCAAACAGGAUUAGAUACCCCGGUAGUCC
This 425-nucleotide ribosomal RNA is filed under the name uncultured bacterium. RNAcentral describes it as "partial 16S ribosomal RNA". It matches the Rfam family "Bacterial small subunit ribosomal RNA", at positions 354 to 796 of the family's 1533-position model. The record is from RNAcentral.